Molecule: ribosomal RNA, 506 nt
Filed under: uncultured bacterium
Lineage: Bacteria
Description: partial 16S ribosomal RNA
Rfam family: Bacterial small subunit ribosomal RNA
Source: RNAcentral
AUUGAACGCUGGCGGCAGGCCUAACACAUGCAAGUCGAACGGCAGCACAGAAGAGCUUGCUCUUUGGGUGGCGAGUGGCGGACGGGUGAGUAAUGUCUGGGAAACUGCCCGAUGGAGGGGGAUAACUACUGGAAACGGUAGCUAAUACCGCAUAACGUCGCGAGACCAAAGUGGGGGACCUUCGGGCCUCACACCAUCGGAUGUGCCCAGAUGGGAUUAGCUAGUAGGUGGGGUAAUGGCUCACCUAGGCGACGAUCCCUAGCUGGUCUGAGAGGAGGACCAGCCACACUGGAACUGAGACACGGUCCAGACUCCUACGGGAGGCAGCAGUGGGGAAUAUUGCACAAUGGGCGCAAGCCUGAUUCAGCCAUGCCGCGUGUAUGAAGAAGGCCUUCGGGUUGUAAAGUACUUUCAGCGGGGAGGAAGGCGGUGAGGUUAAUAACCUUGCCGAUUGACGUUACCCGCAGAAGAAGCACCGGCUAACUCCGUGCCAGCCGCCGCAGUAA